Molecule: ribosomal RNA, 1379 nt
Filed under: Leuconostoc holzapfelii
Lineage: Bacteria; Bacillati; Bacillota; Bacilli; Lactobacillales; Lactobacillaceae
Description: bacterial SSU rRNA
Rfam family: Bacterial small subunit ribosomal RNA
Source: RNAcentral
UCGACGCGCAGCGAAGGUGCUUGCACCUUUCAAGCGAGUGGCGAACGGGUGAGUAACACGUGGAUAACCUGCCUCAAGGCUGGGGAUAACAUUUGGAAACAGAUGCUAAUACCGAAUAAAACUUAGUAUCGCAUGAUACAAAGUUAAAAGGCGCUACGGCGUCACCUAGAGAUGGAUCCGCGGUGCAUUAGUUAGUUGGUGAGGUAAAGGCUUACCAAGACGAUGAUGCAUAGCCGAGUUGAGAGACUGAUCGGCCACAUUGGGACUGAGACACGGCCCAAACUCCUACGGGAGGCUGCAGUAGGGAAUCUUCCACAAUGGGCGCAAGCCUGAUGGAGCAACGCCGCGUGUGUGAUGAAGGCUUUCGGGUCGUAAAGCACUGUUGUAUGGGAAGAAAUGCUAAAAUAGGGAAUGAUUUUAGUUUGACGGUACCAUACCAGAAAGGGACGGCUAAAUACGUGCCAGCAGCCGCGGUAAUACGUAUGUCCCGAGCGUUAUCCGGAUUUAUUGGGCGUAAAGCGAGCGCAGACGGUUGAUUAAGUCUGAUGUGAAAGCCCGGAGCUCAACUCCGGAAUGGCAUUGGAAACUGGUUAACUUGAGUGUUGUAGAGGUAAGUGGAACUCCAUGUGUAGCGGUGGAAUGCGUAGAUAUAUGGAAGAACACCAGUGGCGAAGGCGGCUUACUGGACAACAACUGACGUUGAGGCUCGAAAGUGUGGGUAGCAAACAGGAUUAGAUACCCUGGUAGUCCACACCGUAAACGAUGAAUACUAGGUGUUAGGAGGUUUCCGCCUCUUAGUGCCGAAGCUAACGCAUUAAGUAUUCCGCCUGGGGAGUACGACCGCAAGGUUGAAACUCAAAGGAAUUGACGGGGACCCGCACAAGCGGUGGAGCAUGUGGUUUAAUUCGAAGCAACGCGAAGAACCUUACCAGGUCUUGACAUCCUUUGAAGCUUUUAGAGAUAGAAGUGUUCUCUUCGGAGACAAAGUGACAGGUGGUGCAUGGUCGUCGUCAGCUCGUGUCGUGAGAUGUUGGGUUAAGUCCCGCAACGAGCGCAACCCUUAUUGUUAGUUGCCAGCAUUCAGUUGGGCACUCUAGCGAGACUGCCGGUGACAAACCGGAGGAAGGCGGGGACGACGUCAGAUCAUCAUGCCCCUUAUGACCUGGGCUACACACGUGCUACAAUGGCGUAUACAACGAGUUGCCAACCUGCGAAGGUGAGCUAAUCUCUUAAAGUACGUCUCAGUUCGGACUGCAGUCUGCAACUCGACUGCACGAAGUCGGAAUCGCUAGUAAUCGCGGAUCAGCACGCCGCGGUGAAUACGUUCCCGGGUCUUGUACACACCGCCCGUCACACCAUGGGAGUUUGUAAUGCCCAAA